UUUCCUACGGGUGGCAGCAGUGGGGAAUAUUGGACAAUGGGCGCAAGCCUGAUCCAGCCAUGCCGCGUGAGUGAUGAAGGCCCUAGGGUUGUAAAGCUCUUUCACCGAUGAAGAUAAUGACGGUAGUCGGAGAAGAAGCCCCGGCUAACUUCGUGCCAGCAGCCGCGGUAAUACGAAGGGGGCUAGCGUUGUUCGGAAUUACUGGGCGUAAAGCGCACGUAGGCGGAUAUUUAAGUCAGGGGUGAAAUCCCAGAGCUCAACUCUGGAACUGCCUUUGAUACUGGGUAUCUCGAGUAUGGAAGAGGUGAGUGGAAUUCCGAGUGUAGAGGUGAAAUUCGUAGAUAUUCGGAGGAACACCAGUGGCGAAGGCGGCUCACUGGUCCAUUACUGACGCUGAGGUGCGAAAGCGUGGGGAGCAAACAGGAUUAGAUACCCCUGUAGUCC
This 444-nucleotide ribosomal RNA is filed under the name uncultured Rhizobiaceae bacterium. Its description in RNAcentral is "bacterial SSU rRNA". It matches the Rfam family "Bacterial small subunit ribosomal RNA", at positions 335 to 796 of the family's 1533-position model. The record is from RNAcentral. Lineage: Bacteria; Pseudomonadati; Pseudomonadota; Alphaproteobacteria; Hyphomicrobiales; Rhizobiaceae.